GACGAACGCUGGCGGCGUGCUUGACACAUGCAAGUCGAACGGAAAGGCCCUGCUUUUGUGGGGUGCUCGAGUGGCGAACGGGUGAGUAACACGUGAGUAACCUGCCCUUGACUUUGGGAUAACUUCAGGAAACUGGGGCUAAUACCGGAUAGGAGCUCCUGCUGCAUGGUGGGGGUUGGAAAGUUUCGGCGGUUGGGGAUGGACUCGCGGCUUAUCAGCUUGUUGGUGGGGUAGUGGCUUACCAAGGCUUUGACGGGUAGCCGGCCUGAGAGGGUGACCGGCCACAUUGGGACUGAGGUACGGCCCAGACUCCUACGGGAGGCAGCAGUGGGGAAUAUUGCACAAUGGGCGGAAGCCUGAUGCAGCAACGCCGCGUGCGGGAUGACGGCCUUCGGGUUGUAAACCGCUUUCGCCUGUGACGAAGCGUGAGUGACGGUAAUGGGUAAAGAAGCACCGGCUAACUACGUG
This 468-nucleotide ribosomal RNA is filed under the name uncultured bacterium. Its description in RNAcentral is "partial 16S ribosomal RNA". It matches the Rfam family "Bacterial small subunit ribosomal RNA", at positions 28 to 507 of the family's 1533-position model. The record is from RNAcentral.